AGACCACACCCCCGAGGAUUUCAGACCUCAAGAUGUCGAACUUGGAGCCGUUCUUUAAUGACAUAAAUGGAGUGUCCACCUAAAUAAACCAGCUGGACCCAGAAGACAACUGCACUAUGAGCAGGUGUGCAUCAGGAAGGCAAACAUGGCAGCAGUCCCACCAGUGCAGCUGCAGUCCAGCUCGUGAAAACCCGGGGCGACAUGGCCGACCAGCACAGGUGGAGGCAACAUGGCCGACCAGCACAGGUGGAGGCGACAUGGCCGACCAGCACAGGUGGAGGCAAGAUGGCCGACAGGUCGCAGGUAGACGCCCACACACACACACACAGCAGGGUGCGGCCGCUGGGAGGAAUGUGCCCCGGGCGUGUGAGUGAGCACACCCUCUGGUCCUGCUGGGCCUCCCUGUGCUGACUCACCUGCUGAACCAGAUCGUGUUCAAGUCCCAACCUUGCUAGGCAACACACCUUCAGACGGGGAGAGUCCACCACAGUCUGCUUCUAAGGCCGGCUCCUCUUGGCCUUUCUGGGUCAAAGGUCACGGCAAGCCCUUUGGAGGCGAUGUGUCGUGCAAUAUGCAGUUGGUACUCUGAAGAUGAGAAUAUAGCAAGCAGAGAAGUAGUCAGCUUCUCUACAAACCCAGUUUCCAUAUGAGUUGGGAAAUUGUGUUAGAUGUAAAUAUAAACAGAAUACAAUGAUUUGCAAAUCCUUUUCAAGCCAUAUUCAGUUGAAUAUGCUACAAAGACAACAUAUUUCAUGUUUUUUUGCAAAUAAUAAUUAACUUAAAAUUUCAUGGCUGCAACACGUGCCAAAGUAGUUGGGAAAGGGCAUGUUCACCACUGUGUUACAUCACCUUUUCUUUUAACAACACUCAAUAAACGUUUGGGAACUGAGGAAAGUAAUUGUUGAAGCUUUGAAAGUGGAUUUUUUUUCCCAUUCUUGUUUUAUGUAGAGCUUCAAUCGUUUAACAGUCCGGGGUCUCCGCUGUCCUAUUUUACACUUCACAACACAUUUUCCAUGGGAGACAGGUCUGGACUGCAGGCGGGCCAGGAAAGUACCCGCACUCUUUUACUACGAAGCCACGCUGUUGUAACACGUGGCUUGGCAUUGUCUUGCUGAAAUAAGCAGGGGUGUCCAUGAUAACAUUGCUUGGAUAACAACAUAUGUUGCUCCAAAACCUGUAUGGACCAUUCAGCAUUAAUGGUGCCUUCACAGAUGUGUAAGUUACCCAUGCCUUGGGCACUAAUACACCCCCAUACCAUCACACAUGUGUAAGUUACCCAUGUCUUGGGCACUAAUACACCCCCAUACCAUCACACAUGUGUAAGUUACCCAUGCCUUGGGCACUAAUGCACCCCCAUACCAUCACACAUGCUGGCUUUUACACUUUGCGCCUAUAAUAAUCCGGAUGGUUAUUUUCCUCUUUGUUCCGGAGGACACCACGUCCAAAGUUUCCAAAUAUAAUUUGAAAUGUGGACUCGUCAGACCACAGAACAGUUUUCCACUUUGCAUCAGUCCAUCUUAGAUGAUCUCAGGCCCAGCGAAGCCAGCGGCGUUCCUGGGUGUUGUUGAUAAAUGGCUGUGGCUUUGCAUAGUAGAGUUUUAACUUGCACUUACAGAUGUAGCAACCAACUGUAGUUACUGACAGUGGUUUUCUGAAGUGGUCCUGAGCCCAUGUGGUGAUAUCAUUUACACACUGAUGUGACUUUUUGAUGCUUGAGGGAUCCAAGGUGCAUAACAUGAUGGCUUACCUGCAGUGAUUUCUCCACAUUCUCCGAACCUUUUGAUGAUAUCACGGAGCGUAGAUGGUCAAAUCCCUAAAUUCUUUGUUGAGAAAUGUUGUUCUUAAACAAUUUGCUCAGGCAUUUUUGUUGACAAAGUGGUGACCCUCACCUCGUCCUUGUUUGUGAACGAGUGAGCAUUUCAUGGAAGCUGCUUUUAUCAAUCAAUCAAUCAAUGUUUACUUUCUUUUAUGGCCAAUCACGGCACCCACCUGUUCCCAAUUAGCCUGUUCACCUGUGGGAUGUUCCAAAUAAGUGUUUGAUGAGCAUUCCUCAACUUUCUCAGUCGUUUUUGCCACUUGUGCCAGCUUUUUUGAAACAUGUUGCAGGCAUCAAAUCCCAAAUGAGCUAAUAUUUGCAAAAACAAAGUUUACCAGUUCCAACAGUAAAAUAUCUUGUCUUUGCAGUCUAGUCAAUAGAAUAUAAGUUGAAAGGGAUUUGUUGUAUUUUCUUUUUAUUUAGCUUUUACACAAGCUGAGUUCUUCACUGCUUCUGGGAAUUGUAGUCCGAGUAGAAAUGUUGUGCAGGAUAGGAGGUGGAACUCUGGAAAUGUAGGAAAACUAAAUCAUUCAUUUUAACAAAUCAACUUCAAAAUAUGUCAAGCUUCAUUUAUUAUUUGUUUAAUUGUUAUUCUAUUUUUAUUUAAUCUUUUUUUGUUUACAGUCUUUGAAAACAAACAUUUUAUGAAAUGUUUAAUUGCAAGUUUCUAAAGCCAUCAAGAUUCUGUCAAAGCAAGUCUUGAUUUUUUAAAAAUUUAUUGUGUUUUUAUUUUGUUUUUUUUGCACUACAGUUUUUGGAAAUCCUGAAUUUUCUGAAAUUUUCAAUUUGUGGUUUUGGUCGGCUGUAAAAGCCAUCAAAACAAGUCUUGACGUGUAAUUGGUUGAAUUUUAUUUGUAUUGUUUUGGUUUGUCAAUUAAUCAAUCACUCAAUGUUGACUUAUAUAGCCCUAAAUCACGAGUGUCUCAAAGGGCUGCACAAGCCACAACAGUUACAGUUUUUGAAAACCUAAAAUGUUUUGAAAUGUUCAAUUUGAGGUUUUGAUUGACUGCAUGUCAUCAACAUGCUAUCAAAAGAAGUAUUGAAAGUGAAUUUUAUUAUUAAUAUUUUUAAUCAAUGUAUUUAUUUAAUUUUACUAUUUGGGGGAGUUCACAGUUUUUGAAAACACAACAUUUUAUGAAAUUUGCAGUUUUUGUGGGCUGUAAGUCAUGAAAAUGAUAUUGAGAGAAGUCUUGAAAAUUAUUUUCAUAAUUAAAAAAAAAAAUAAUAAUUUGUUUAUUUUUCCAGUUUAUUUGGGUAAGCACUCCAUUUAUGUCGAAAUAGAAUGGGUUCAAAUUCCACAUUUGCAGCUGCUAGUCACUUUUAACUCACUCUCUCAGCUUCACUCUUCCUUUGUGCUCACUUCUAGAAGCAGAAGUUCAUCCUCCUUAUAUUCAGCUUCAAAAAGAUAAGGUUAUGAAUCCUCUUUUGUCCACAAAUAGUCUUCUUUGUUGUCUGUUGCCAGGUCUGCCGUAACUACAACACUCUCACGUUUGUUUUUUGGAAGCCGGAAGUGCGUUGCUAUGGAAACGGACAUAAAAGCGCGGAAAAAAAUUAGUCCUGGCAAUUAUUAAAAUGACCAAAAUACAGUAAAUAUUGUACAUAUUACAUAUUGUUAUGAAGGUGAUUGU
Nerophis ophidion (straightnose pipefish) is the source of this 3444-nucleotide long non-coding RNA. RefSeq lists it as uncharacterized. The transcript is spliced from 3 exons. The record is from RefSeq and is a predicted model, not a curated record. Lineage: Eukaryota; Metazoa; Chordata; Actinopteri; Syngnathiformes; Syngnathidae.